Molecule: long non-coding RNA, 807 nt
Organism: Bradysia coprophila
Lineage: Eukaryota; Metazoa; Arthropoda; Insecta; Diptera; Sciaridae
Source: RefSeq, a predicted model, not a curated record
CCUGCCUCAACUAGUCAAAUUUACGCUUCGCGUGCUCUUCUUCACAAUAGUGUACGAGUUGUAUCAUAUGUCUAGUAUGUCAUUUAUUGCCCCUAAUAAAUUCGGCGUUUGUACAUUGCUUGCAUUUGUGUUACCGAAUUUUAUUGUCAAAUGUUAUCCAGACCUAUUUUAUGGAGGUAUGUUAGUAGGACAUUUUUAUUUCCAUCAAAUGAACAAAGAAAUUCGGAUCAUCCUGAAUGCCGUUAUUGAAUUGAAAAGUUCCGGGAGUGAAAAUGGAAUGAGAAAUUUAAGCCAAAAGCUGGAAAACGUAACCGUCCAUUACUUCCAGUUAAUUGAAAUUGUCAGAGAAUUCAAUUCGUUUACAUCGCUCCGUGUACUUCUAUGGCUUUUCAUUUUGUUGCUGAAUUUCGUGGUUCACUUUUACAUGCAGUACGCAUUUCUGUGGGCAUUAUUUCGACAUGGACAGAGAAUUAAUGUUGUCAUUUCCAUAAUCGGAUUCAUCUACACUUUUUUCCAAUUAUUUGAAUUUUGGCUUACAACAUCAAUCUGUUCCAAACUGUCCAACGAAAUAAACCGAACUGAAAUAAUGUUAAGCUCAAUGUACCUUCAUCUUUGCCAUACUGAUCACGUUCCAUUCAAAGAAAAAGUGUUCAUGACUGCCAAUCGUAUCAAACAUGAGAAUCUGGAAAUCACUGGCUCAAAAUUAUUUGUCAUUGAUUCGCGUUUAAUUUUCUCGAUUAUUAGCAGUACCUUCUCAUACUUAGUGAUACUCAUACAGUUUGAAUUGUCCAACAUAAACAUGUGAAA